Molecule: ribosomal RNA, 451 nt
Filed under: uncultured bacterium
Lineage: Bacteria
Description: partial 16S ribosomal RNA
Rfam family: Bacterial small subunit ribosomal RNA
Source: RNAcentral
GAUGAACGCUGGCGGCGUGCCUAACACAUGCAAGUCGAGCGGCAGCGAGGGGUGCUUGCACCCUGUCGGCGAGCGGCGGACGGCUGAGUAACGCGUGGGAACGUGCCCCAAAGUGAGGAAUAACUGCCCGAAAGGGUAGCUAAUACCGCAUAUUAUCUUCGGAUCAAAGGAUUUAUCCGCUUUGGGAGCGGCUCGCGUCGGAUUAGGUAGGUGGUGAGGUAAUGGCUCACCAAGCCGACGAUCCGUAGCUGGUCUGAGAGGAUGACCAGCCAGACUGGAACUGAGACACGGUCCAGACUCCUACGGGAGGGAGCAGUGAGGAAUCUUCCACAAUGGGCGAAAGCCUGAUGGAGCAACGCCGCGUGAAGGACGAAGGCCUUCGGGUUGUAAACUGCUUUUAUAAGUGAGGAAUAUGACGGUAACUUAUGAAUAAGGAUCGGCUAACUACGUG